UACAGAGGGGGCAAGCGUUGUUCGGAAUUACUGGGCGUAAAGGGCGCGUAGGCGGCCCUCUAAGUCGAACGUGAAAUCCCUGGGCUCAACCCAGGAACUGCGUCCGAGACUGGGGGGCUCGAAUCCGGGAGAGGGAUGUGGAAUUCCAGGUGUAGCGGUGAAAUGCGUAGAUAUCUGGAGGAACAUCGGUGGCGAAGGCGGCAUCCUGGACCGGUAUUGACGCUGAGGCGCGAAAGCCAGGGGAGCAAACGGG
Molecule: ribosomal RNA, 253 nt
Filed under: uncultured bacterium
Lineage: Bacteria
Description: partial 16S ribosomal RNA
Rfam family: Bacterial small subunit ribosomal RNA
Source: RNAcentral